RNAcentral lists this long non-coding RNA (236 nucleotides) under Elaeis guineensis (African oil palm). RNAcentral describes it as "long non-coding RNA (EGUI_LNC054324)". Lineage: Eukaryota; Viridiplantae; Streptophyta; Magnoliopsida; Arecales; Arecaceae. The record is from RNAcentral.
GCUCACGAAGGGUAUGGGUAUAAGUGUCCCUCCGAUUUGAGAUCACCAUGGUGACUUGCAAGCAACUCACUAUACUUUAGUGCCAAACUAACUGAGUUUUUAAUUUAGUGAUGGAAGAUUUCUGAGUACAGUCAAGUACUUGUCAAGUCGGUGCAUAAGUCAAGAUGAGAUUGAUCCCUCCAAAUUAGUAGGAGAUAUAAAUCAGUGUAUUUCAAUUUAGCAAAACUUGAGCCCGA